AAUCAACGCUGGCGGCGUGCCUCAGACAUGCAAGUCGAACGCGAAAGUCCCCUUCGGGGGACAAGUAGAGUGGCGCACGGGUGAGUAACACGUAGGUAAUCUACCUUCGGAUGGGAAUAACAAUCGGAAACGGUUAGCUAAUACCGCAUAAUGCAGCGGCACCUAAUGGUGACAGUUGUUAAAGCGGGGGAGUCGAAAGACCUCGCGUCUGAAGAGGAGCCUGCGGCGGAUUAGCUAGUUGGUAAGGUAACGGCUUACCAAGGCGACGAUCCGUAGCCGGCCUGAGAGGGCGGUCGGCCACACUGACACUGACAUACGGGUCAGACUCCUACGGGAGGCAGC
This 342-nucleotide ribosomal RNA is filed under the name uncultured bacterium. RNAcentral's name for it is "bacterial SSU rRNA". It matches the Rfam family "Bacterial small subunit ribosomal RNA", at positions 32 to 352 of the family's 1533-position model. The record is from RNAcentral.